This 769-nucleotide long non-coding RNA is filed under the name Cyanistes caeruleus (blue tit). Its description in RNAcentral is "lncRNA (ENSCCEG00000003985.1)". Lineage: Eukaryota; Metazoa; Chordata; Aves; Passeriformes; Paridae. The record is from RNAcentral.
CGUUGAGGAUUUUGGCGUCGUUCUCGUCCGACACGAAGGUGAUGGCCAAGCCCUUGGUGCCGAAACGCCCGGCCCGCGCCACCUGCCCGGCAACGGCGCGCUCAGAGGGACCCCGCGAGCCCCCCGGCUGCGGGGGCAGCCCAGGAACAGCCGGAGCUCGCGGAAACACCCGGAACUCGCACGGAAACAGCCGGAAUUCACCCAAAAACCACCACAGGAACUCACACGGAAACAACCGGAAUUCACCCAAAAACAACCGGAACUCACACGGAAACCACCACAGGAACUCACGGAAACAACCGGAACUCACACAGAAACCACCCCAGGAACACCCGGAACUCACGGAAACACCCGGAACUCACACGGAAACAACCGGAACUCACACGGAAAUACCCGGAAUUCACACAGAAACCACCACAGGAACACCCGAAACUCACACGGAAACAACCGGAAUUCACACAGAAACACCCGGAAUUCACCCAAAAACCACCACAGAAACACCUGGAACUCAUGGAAACAACCGGAAUUCACACGGAAACAACCGGAACUCGCACGGAAACCACCCCAGGAACAGCCGGAACUCACAGAAACACACGGAACUCGCACGGAAACAGCCGGAAUUCACACAGAAACCAACACAGGAACACCCGGAACUCACGGAAACAACCGGAAACCACCCCAGGAACAGCCGGAACUCACGGAAACACACGGAAUUCACACAAAAACACCCGGAAUUCACACGGAAACAACCGGAACUCACACGGAAACA